Bombus impatiens (common eastern bumble bee) is the source of this 976-nucleotide RNA transcript. RefSeq lists it as uncharacterized. The record is from RefSeq and is a predicted model, not a curated record. The transcript is spliced from 6 exons. Lineage: Eukaryota; Metazoa; Arthropoda; Insecta; Hymenoptera; Apidae.
AUAUACUGUGUGUUAUUUUAAUGUAAUAGCAUGUGGAUUAUAUCGUUCUCGAAAUUAUUAAUUACUAAUAGAAUUGUUUCAUUGUUUGAUUAUAAGGUGGUUUGUGUUUACUGGUUUAAUUUAAUGUAUGCAUAGUGUAUUGUGUCACCAGUCACUAUUGUGUAAUAUAACCUUAUUUCUUUAUGCCAGAUUUAAUAUAAUAAUACUAUAGUAACUCAACACAAUAUAAUAAUUUCUAAUUUUAAUCAUGUUUGGUCAUCAAUAUUCAGCUAAUCUAUCUUGAUUAAUUUAUAGCUUAUUUCUAUAUUUAUUAGCUAUUUCUAUUUCUUUCCUAUUAAUCUGUCGUUACUUCGUACUUGCGAUUUAUUGUUAUUUCAUAUUUUUUCUCAAAUUCUAUUCCUUCGAUGAUGCAUUGCUUACUUGGAACAUUUAUAUACUUCUCCGAUCAUGUUCCUUCAACACUGCAUCACUUACAUGGAACAUUCCUGCAGUACGUACAGCAUCAUCCGGUUCUUCUUAUGUUCUAAAUACUUACUAUGGAUAUCUUUAUUCAUCCUAUAUUUCUGACAGACGCAUAUUAUGUUCUAUGGAGUGGAUCCAUAAUUUGUCUCUGUGGAAUUCCUGCAUGUAUACUUCCUUCUACGAUCAUUAAUCGUGCACUAGGUUUCCACUAUCUACACUAUUCGAUAAGCAGUGUCACACUUCCUUUGGCUUAACCACAAUAUUGUUAUAAACAUUUAGUAAUAUUAUAUUUUGUAUUAAGACAAUUGAGGUUAAUUCAUCCAUUUGUUUCAGCUGACUGUCAUACAUUAUGUUCUAUGAAUAUGAACCUAUAACCUGUCUUCGCACAUACACUUGCUUCUAUGAUGAGCAAUUGUUCGCAAGGUUUCUACUAUCUGCAGUAUUCGACAAGCAACAUUAUGCCAUACACCACUGUACUACAUUGCCUCUUGAAAUCAUUCUGGUGGUCUACUUC